UAAAAAUUUUAUCAAUCCUUUUAUUCAUAAUGUAAAAACAUUAAAGGUUUCAAAGACAGCAAUUAAAUGGACUGUACGCUAAAAUACCCAUGCCUGAUUCACAACGGUACCUUUAUAAGUUUAUUCUGAUUAAACAGACAAUCAGGCAUAUACCAUCUUUGAGGGUCACUUGUAAUUACGGGCGCUUACACAUCCUUUAAAAUAGUUUUUUUGACCAUAAACCUGUCUCCAACCCCCACCCUGGCGUAAUGUCGUCUUUGCCAGACCCAAAUCCAAACAAACAAUUUCUCUGACUCUACCUCUCUACCCAGACAAAGGAAAAUCGAAACAGUGAAAUGUUUUACUAAAAGAUCAAAUCCAUAAUAACUUUGCAAUCCAUAAUGAAUUCUAUUUAAAAAACCGGGUUCAUAUUUUCAGAAGUGUUAAAAAUGUUUAAAACUAUUCCAUCAAACCCUCCGAUCCUUAAUCACUCCUUUUCACCACGACACAAAAAACUAGUUCACCCUCAUAAAAGAGGCGAUCUUAUGGUGACAAGAAACCCUCUAAUAAAGCAACCUGAAGGAUACAGGGAGAACCAGACAACUCAAAACAGGAAGACGACUUUUAGAGUUAAGUUAUGAAUUUAAAUAUUCCAAUUUGCAUGAGAAAUAGUAGAGGUGCAGUGUAAACAGACCCAUUUUACUGAAUAAAUAAAUAAAUAAGUCAACUUACUCUAUAACUAUUUGAUUAAGUCACUUUACUCUAUAUAACUAUUUGAUUAAGUCACUUUACUCUAUAUAACUAUUUGAUUAAGUCACUUUACCCUAUUUAACUAUUUAAGUUGUAACGACAUCAAAUAAAAACUUUAGCAUCGCUUUAAUGCCGUCUCCCUGUUCCACAAUUUUAAGGUUCUCAUUGUACAAGAACUUUUAUAAAGA
Long non-coding RNA from Eurytemora carolleeae, 917 nucleotides. RefSeq lists it as uncharacterized. NCBI's taxonomy places the organism in Eukaryota, Metazoa, Arthropoda, Copepoda, Calanoida, Temoridae. The transcript has 3 exons. The record is from RefSeq and is a predicted model, not a curated record.